GAUGAAGAACGCAGCGAAAUGCGAUAAGUAAUGUGAAUUGCAGAAUUCAGUGAAUCAUCGAAUCUUUGAACGCACAUUGCGCCCGCCAGUAUUCUGGCGGGCAUGCCUGUUCGAGCGUCAUUUCAACCCUCAAGCACAGCUUGGUGUUGGGACUAGCGUUAAUUCGCGUUCCCCAAAUUGAUUGGCGGUCACGUCGAGCUUCCAUAGCGUAGUAGUAAAACCCUCGUUACUGGUAAUCGUCGCGGCCACGCCGUUAAACCCCAACUUCUGAAUGUUGACCUCGGAUCAGGUAGGAAUACCCGCUGAACUUAAGCAUAUCAAUAAGCGGAGGA
This 332-nucleotide unclassified non-coding RNA is filed under the name soil metagenome. Its description in RNAcentral is "partial contains 5.8S ribosomal RNA, internal transcribed spacer 2, and large subunit ribosomal RNA". The stretch from base 1 to 120 matches the Rfam family "5.8S ribosomal RNA", at positions 35 to 154 of the family's 154-position model. The record is from RNAcentral.